This 770-nucleotide ribosomal RNA is filed under the name uncultured Enterobacteriaceae bacterium. Its description in RNAcentral is "bacterial SSU rRNA". It matches the Rfam family "Bacterial small subunit ribosomal RNA", at positions 731 to 1502 of the family's 1533-position model. Lineage: Bacteria; Pseudomonadati; Pseudomonadota; Gammaproteobacteria; Enterobacterales; Enterobacteriaceae. The record is from RNAcentral.
UGGACAGUACUGACGCUGAGAUGCGAAAGCGUGGGGAGCAAACAGGAUUAGAUACCUGGUAGUCCACGCUGUAAACGAUGUCGAUUUGGAGUUUGUUGCCUAGAGUGAUGGGCUCCGAAGCUAACGCGAUAAAUCGACCGCCUGGGGAGUACGGCCGCAAGGUUAAAACUCAAAUGAAUUGACGGGGGCCCGCACAAGCGGUGGAGCAUGUGGUUUAAUUCGAUGCAACGCGAAGAACCUUACCUGGUCUUGACAUCCAUAGAAUUCUGCAGAGAUGUGGGAGUGCCUUCGGGAACUAUGAGACAGGUGCUGCAUGGCUGUCGUCAGCUCGUGUUGUGAAAUGUUGGGUUAAGUCCCGCAACGAGCGCAACCCUUAUUCUUUGUUGCCAGCGAUUUGGUCGGGAACUCAAAGGAGACUGCCGUUGAUAAAGCGGAGGAAGGUGGGGACGACGUCAAGUCAUCAUGGCCCUUACGACCAGGGCUACACACGUGCUACAAUGGCGUAUACAAAGGGAAGCGAAGGUGCGAGCUGGAGCGGAUCUCAUAAAGUACGUCUAAGUUCGGAUUGGAGUCUGCAACUCGACUCCAUGAAGUCGGAAUCGCUAGUAAUCGUAGAUCAGAAUGCUACGGUGAAUACGUUCCCGGGCCUUGUACACACCGCCCGUCACACCAUGGGAGUGGGUUGCACCAGAAGUAGAUAGCUUAACCGCGAGGGGGGCGUUUACCACGGUGUGAUUCAUGACUGGGGUGAAGUCGUAACAAGGUAACCA